Molecule: ribosomal RNA, 254 nt
Filed under: uncultured bacterium
Lineage: Bacteria
Description: partial 16S ribosomal RNA
Rfam family: Bacterial small subunit ribosomal RNA
Source: RNAcentral
UACGUAGGGUGCGAGCGUUGUCCGGAAUUAUUGGGCGUAAAGAGCUCGUAGGCGGUGUGUCGCGUCGGUCGUGAAAACUUGGGGCUUAACCCUGAGCUUGCGGUCGAUACGGGCAUCACUGGAGUUCGGCAGGGGAGACUGGAAUUCCUGGUGUAGCGGUGAAAUGCGUAGAUAUUGGGAGGAACACCGGUGGCGAAGGCGGCUACCUGGACCGGUUCUGACGCUGAUGCGCGAAAGCGUGGGUAGCAAACAGG